CAAAAGGUAGCUAAAUUAAGCUAAAGUGUGAUAGACUUUCCAUGGUAAUACCCCUUUUGU
This 60-nucleotide transfer RNA is filed under the name Grandidierella taihuensis. Its description in RNAcentral is "tRNA-Ile". The record is from RNAcentral. Lineage: Eukaryota; Metazoa; Arthropoda; Malacostraca; Amphipoda; Corophiidae.